UACGUAGGUGGCAAGCGUUAUCCGGAAUUAUUGGGCGUAAAGAGCGCGCAGGUGGUUGAUUAAGUCUGAUGUGAAAGCCCACGGCUUAACCGUGGAGGGUCAUUGGAAACUGAGGGACUUGAGGACAGGUGAGGAGAGUGGAAUUCCACGUGUAGCGGUGAAAUGCGUAGAGAUGUGGAGGAACACCAGUGGCGAAGGCGACUCUCUAGUCUGUAUCUGACGCUGAGGUGCAAAAGCGUGGGUAGCAAACAGGAUUAGAUA
This 261-nucleotide ribosomal RNA is filed under the name uncultured prokaryote. RNAcentral describes it as "partial 16S ribosomal RNA". It matches the Rfam family "Bacterial small subunit ribosomal RNA", at positions 524 to 784 of the family's 1533-position model. The record is from RNAcentral.